GAUGAAGAACGUAGCGAAAUGCGAUACUUGGUGUGAAUUGCAGAAUCCCGUGAACCAUCGAGUCUUUGAACGCAAGUUGCGCCCGAAGCCACUAGGCCGAGGGCACGCCUGCCUGGGCGUCACACGCCGUUGCCCCCCCAUCUACUCCUUCGGGAUUGCGGGGGGGCGGAUGAUGGCCUCCCGUGUGCCUAGCCGCGCGGUUGGCAUAAAUACCAAGUCCUCGGCGACGCACGCCACGACAAUCGGUGGUUGCGAAACCUCGGUUGCCCGUCGUGUGCGUUCGUCGCGCAUCGAGGGCUCGAAAAAAUGCUCGGCUCCGGCUGGGCUUUCAACGCGACCCCAGGUCAGGCGGGGUUACCCGCUGAAUUUAAGCAUAUCAAUAAGCGGAGGA
This 391-nucleotide unclassified non-coding RNA is filed under the name soil metagenome. RNAcentral describes it as "partial contains 5.8S ribosomal RNA, internal transcribed spacer 2, and large subunit ribosomal RNA". The stretch from base 1 to 122 matches the Rfam family "5.8S ribosomal RNA", at positions 35 to 154 of the family's 154-position model. The record is from RNAcentral.